This 358-nucleotide unclassified non-coding RNA is filed under the name soil metagenome. Its description in RNAcentral is "partial contains 5.8S ribosomal RNA, internal transcribed spacer 2, and large subunit ribosomal RNA". The stretch from base 1 to 119 matches the Rfam family "5.8S ribosomal RNA", at positions 35 to 154 of the family's 154-position model. The record is from RNAcentral.
GAUGAAGAACGUAGCGAAAUGCGAUAAGUAAUGCGAAUUGCAGAAUCCGUGAGUCAUCGAAUCUUUGAACGCACAUUGCGCCCGCCGGUAUUCCGGCGGGCAUGCCUGUUCGAGCGUCAUUUCAACCCUCAAGCCCCGGCUUGGUGUUGGGGCGCCCGGGUCCCCCGCGGCCUGGGGCCCCCAAGUUCAUCGGCGGGCUCGUCGGUACACUGAGCGCAGUAAAAACGCGGUAAAACGCGAACCCUCGCUCGGCCCGUCACCGGCGCGCACCAGCCGCUAAACCCCCAAAACUUUCAAAGGUUGACCUCGGAUCAGGUAGGAAUACCCGCUGAACUUAAGCAUAUCAAUAAGCGGAGGA